This 492-nucleotide ribosomal RNA is filed under the name uncultured bacterium. RNAcentral describes it as "partial 16S ribosomal RNA". It matches the Rfam family "Bacterial small subunit ribosomal RNA", at positions 29 to 507 of the family's 1533-position model. The record is from RNAcentral.
AGUGAACGCUGGCGGUAGGCCUAACACAUGCAAGUCGAACGGCAGCACAGUAAGAGCUUGCUCUUACGGGUGGCGAGUGGCGGACGGGUGAGGAAUACAUCGGAAUCUACUUUUUCGUGGGGGAUAACGUAGGGAAACUUACGCUAAUACCGCAUACGACCUACGGGUGAAAGCAGGGGAUCUUCGGACCUUGCGCGAUUGAAUGAGCCGAUGUCGGAUUAGCUAGUUGGCGGGGUAAAGGCCCACCAAGGCGACGAUCCGUAGCUGGUCUGAGAGGAUGAUCAGCCACACUGGAACUGAGACACGCUCCAGACUCCUACGGGAGGCAGCAGUGGGGAAUAUUGGACAAUGGUCGCAAGCCUGAUCCAGCCAUACCGCGUGGGUGAAGAAGGCCUUCGGGUUGUAAAGCCCUUUUGUUGGGAAAGAAAAGCAGCAGGUUAAUACCCCGCUGUUCUGACGGUACCCAAAGAAUAAGCACCGGCUAACUUCGUG